Molecule: ribosomal RNA, 253 nt
Filed under: uncultured bacterium
Lineage: Bacteria
Description: partial 16S ribosomal RNA
Rfam family: Bacterial small subunit ribosomal RNA
Source: RNAcentral
UACGGAGGGAGCUAGCGUUGUUCGGAAUUACUGGGCGUAAAGCGCGCGUAGGCGGCUCAUCAAGUCAGAGGUGAAAGCCCGGGGCUCAACCCCGGAACUGCCUUUGAAACUGGCGAGCUAGAAUCUUGGAGAGGUCAGUGGAAUUCCGAGUGUAGAGGUGAAAUUCGUAGAUAUUCGGAAGAACACCAGUGGCGAAGGCGACUGACUGGACAAGUAUUGACGCUGAGGUGCGAAAGCGUGGGGAGCAAACAGG